Molecule: long non-coding RNA, 3006 nt
Organism: Siniperca chuatsi (mandarin fish)
Lineage: Eukaryota; Metazoa; Chordata; Actinopteri; Centrarchiformes; Sinipercidae
Exons: 2
Source: RefSeq, a predicted model, not a curated record
AAAUGAAUCCACUCUGCCCAGUCAUAUUAAUACUCACAUUCCUCGAGGCACCGGCCAAGGAGGUGGAGUUGCAGCCAUCUUUGACUCAAGCCUAUUAAUCAAAUUAAAUUAUAACUCAUUCGGAAGCCUCGUUCUUAGUCUUUUACACUCAACCUGGUAACACUAUAGCCAAUUCUAUUUGUUAUAGUGUACCUGGUCCUUAUUCUGAAUUUUUAUCUGAAUUCUUUGAGUUUUUAUCAAGUUUAUUCCUUAAAACAGAUAAACUAAUUAUUGUUGGUGAUUUCAAUUUUCAUGUGGACGUUGAUAAUGAUAGCCUUAAUACUGUCUUUAUCUCAUCAUUAGCUUUGAUUGGCUUCUGUCAGUGUGUACAUAAACCUACUCACUGUUUUAACCACACCCUUCACCUUGUUCUGGCAUGUGCCAAAGCAGCUGUCCUCCAGCAGCCUGGAGCAGAAGCUCCGACCGGCUCAGCUGCGAGAUUCAGAGCUUUCCAGCUUUCUCCUCUGUGGGAGAAGAUCUUAACCUGAAAGCCAGGACAGCUCCUAUUUAUGCUCUUUUCCAAGUGAGAACUGGUGACAUCAUUGUUACCUCACACAUGAUGUCAUAUAUCAUAAUAUAAUAUGUCAGUAUAGUAUGAUGUCAUAGUACACAUUGAUAUGUCAUAGAAGACUGUGAUGUCAUAAUGUAAUAAGAUAUGUUAUAGAAUAGUGUGAUAUCAUAGUAUACUGUAGGUAUUGUGUACUAUCUCAGUGAUGAAAUAUAGUCAUUGAAAUGCUGUUGAAACAACGGUUAUAUGUCAGCAAGACAUCGAGCUGACUAGUCACAGCUGUGAUUGGAAUCUUACCCUUCUAGUGGAGAAAAUGUGAUGCAGUGCACUAAUGGGUGCAAAUAAAAUGGAGAAAAGGUGAUGCAGUGACAUAUAGGCUGCCCUAUAUGCUAGAAAAUUAGUAGUAUUUAAUAGUUAUACUUUUCUAUACUUAUUUUUACAUUUACAUAAUGAAACAACUAAAUCUCAGCCAGGGUUUCGAACUGUUUCACGAUAAAUGCAUGACGACCAAACAGCUAAAGUAAGUUAGUUUGACUGACUUUUUACUGCCUGUAAUGUUAAAUUAAUUAUUUAAUGUGAAUCAAUAUGUAUAUCAAGAGAUACAGCAUACGGAAGAUAAAAUCUGGAUAUUCGUGACCAUACUUAUUCUAUUGUCUGUACAGCAGCUCUGGAAACUGAGAAACGUUUCUGUGGAAGCCUUUUGUAUCAGUGCCUGAGAUAUUGCUUUUUUGUCUGCAUUCAGGCUAUCUUUCCAGGAACAGGGAUUCCUUUUCACUCAUGUCAAAUUCAGGUUGAAGCCGUAGCCGUGCUCCCCCUUCACCAGGUGACACAGACGGGGAAGGAGCUCCGCUGUCGGCUCUGGUGAGGGCUGCACCUGCAGCUAUAAUGGGACAUAAGACAACAGUAAAGUCUAGGAUGAGAUGAUGGCAAUGCAACAACAUGAAAAAUACAUCCAAAAAUAUAAAGUGUGUAGCAUGCAUUUGAAAAUGUUUGGCAAAUGUAAAUACUAUGAUAGUUACUUAAGCAGUUAAAACUUGUAAAAACACUGUUAUGGCUCUUUAAAUAUAUGAUCAUUUUUGAGUCUGUAGUGAUGUUGUGUUGGACUGCACUAUACUGAAUAUUUUGUCCUCCUUCAAUAAAAUGAUGCAACCUACUACAACACCACCACUAAUGAUAGCCUCAAAAAUGACCAUAGCGUUUGAUGAUUGUUAGGGCUGAGCAAUAAUUCAUUAUCACAACUUUCAGUACAAUCGUCUCAUGACAAUAUGAUCAUAUCAAAUGAUCUUUUAACAAAAUUCUGUUGUCCACAUCAGUGAUUCCAAGCAAAUUGUAAUUUAAAAUAAACAAAACUAGUUAUUACAGUUUUUGUUUUACAGAGUUUUGUAAGAUGUAAUGCAAACAGGGGAACAUCAAUUUGAUUAUUUCAUAUUUAAUUUUGUAUACAUUUGCCAUUUUGUAAUAUAUUGUAAACAUUUUCUUAUUAAUAUUGUAAUACUGAUUUCAUAUUUAUUGCCCUGCCCUACUACAGGUGUACCUAUAUUGUGUAUAUUGGUGUGGCUGUACGAUGAGCUAAACAGGAAUAAGCUGCGAGGAUGAGCCAGCGGUCUCAGAGUUGAGCAGAGUGGGCUAAGUGGAUCUGGUUGAGAGACAUUAAGACCGAUCCCGAGCUUAAUGACCAAUGACAAGAGCUGACACAUUGCAUGACUCACCCGCUGACCGGGCCUCUACUACAAUGUACAUGUUGGAUGUGUCUGUGUGUGUGUGUGUGUGUGUGUGUGUGUGUUCUGUGCCAGCACUACGCAUUAGUCCCUGUCCUGAGGGUAGCCCAAGGAUAGUGACUAUCUAGUGACACUGCUUCAUGGGUAAGCUGACCUGAGGGCUCUCUGACAGAUCUCUCUGUCCUUUCUGCUCCAUCAACAACAGACUCAUUGUGCACGCACACACACACACACACGCAUACACACGUUUGUUUCACUAUCCCUGUGGGGGACAGUCAUUGACAUAAUGCUUUCCCUAGCCCCUUACCCUAACCUUAACCUAUGUUACCCCCCACCCUAUGUUUUGCCUACUAUUUUGAUAAGUCUUUUCAAGCAAUAAUGCCAAACAUUCACUGAUUCCAGUUUCUAAUUUGCUGAUUAUCUCUGUUUUAUAUGAUAAAAGAAAAUAAAUCUAAUAUCUUUGGGUAUUGGACUGUAAUUUGAAUCCGUCUCCUUGGGUGUGACGAGCAUUUGUCACUAUUUUCUGCCCUAAUAUCAAAGCAGUAUCUCCAAUUUAAUAUCUUACUAUAUGGUUCUAUAUAGAGAUUCCUCAUCUUUGUUUAACAACGACUGGAGCUUACUUUCUUAUACCUUCUUGAAAGUGUUAUUUCUAUGUUACAUUUUCUUAUAUUUUACAGAUAACUGAGUCAAAUGCCAUACAUUUAACAGGAGAAAUAAAAAAUUGCCUUUGUUCUAAACGUU